Molecule: long non-coding RNA, 1666 nt
Filed under: Daphnia magna
Lineage: Eukaryota; Metazoa; Arthropoda; Branchiopoda; Diplostraca; Daphniidae
Description: uncharacterized LOC123474592
Source: RNAcentral
UUUUCGUUUAUAAAAAAAAAAAUGGCUGGUUUAACGAGAAAACCAUAUAGUAAUCAAAAUCCGUGUUCAAUUUUGAUAACAUUGUGUGAUGUGUCUUUUUCUCCAAGGUUUAUCGGGAACUUUCCGAACACCGGUAGCCGUUGAGUCCUUCUUUCAUCAAGAGUAAUGCGUAUUUUUAGGCGCAACCUAAGGUCUAAGGCCGAAACAUUCCUAUUGAAUACCAUGUUAUAAUUCUUAUUGUUAUACCAAGCUAGAAUGCAACAAUUGGGUAAGGAGAUCUGGCGGAUGAAUUUCAGACUAACUGAAUUUUGACAUCCAUUAAAAUGAUACAGGAUGGGGUGUGUGACUGUGUGUCCAAGUAACAAGUAACCCUUAAGUUUGUUUUCUUAGCUAAUUUUUGUGUUCCCAUCGAUAAUUCAGCUAUUGACUAUGGGUGUGUUAUUUGCGAUCUAUUUCCCUUGUCAUCAGCUAGGCAAGCUGUUGAACCACAAAACUGUUAGCAGCCCAGGAUGAAACUAUUUCAAAGUAAAAGCACUAAGGAUGUGGACGCUGGAAGAAUUGUGAGCAUCUUAUGUUUGUUGAUUUUCAUCAUGCCAUUUUUCAGUGAGAGGAUACAAUUCUACCCACCAAUCUACCCAUAAGCUUCAACGCUAUCAUCUUAUUAGGAAUGUAAUCCCAACAUUAGGGCUGCGAGCCUUCGUCUUUGUUUCUACGCAAACCACCGUCCAGACGAUUUCUGCAUUUCUAUCCAUCAGACUGCACACAUUAAGUAAUUCCAUCAAUUCAGAAGAACUAUGUUCAAAGCCAACUUCAGGAUUUCGGUCUUGCUGUUUUCUUCCUUCGCCUUCGCCUCAUCGCUGUCCUCAAUCCAUCUAUCCGAUAACGUCAUGACUUGAACCAAAUGACGAAUGACGAAUGACGCCAACGCCAUCGCCAUCGCCAUCGCCAUCACCAUCACCAUCACCAUCGCAUCGCCAUCGCAUCGCCAUCGCAUCGCGAUCGCCAUCAGAAUCACCAUCACCAUCACCGCUGCCGUUGCCGCAGCCGCUGUCUUCGCCUUCGCCAUCGCCAUCGCCAUCGCCGCCGUCUUCGCCUUCGCCAUCCCGUUCACGCUUCACAGAAAAGUCGGUCACAAUUGGAUUUGGUUCAGCAAACAGCCCACGGCGAUGGUGGAUUUCACCGUGGAUCGUCCUCGUGGUAUUGUUUUGUUUUGCAUUGUAUCUUGUAUGUAUAAGUUAACCCGUUGGCUGCCACCCCGUUUGCGUCCCAUUUUUUUUGUAGCUUUUAGGGAACCGGGCGCUGUUCUGCCCCAUGGCCAUGGGGGGGAACAGUCGCCGCGCCUAAAGGCUUUGUGCCUUUAGGCGCCGUAGGCAAUGCACCAGUAGGGACUUCUCUUUGUCGGUGCGGUGAUAGAUUCCUGGGGUGUGCAUUCCCGGAAUGGUUUCUAUUGCCGUGCCAGCCCGGACUUGUCUUCGGACAAGUCCCACCUUGUUCGUGAUCCUUCAGACGCGAUGCGUAGCUAAUGUAGUUUAAGCAACCUACGGGUUGCAUGGCCUGGCAGCCAACGGGUUAACUUAGUUAAGUGUGUAUGUUUGUAUGUAUGUAUGUUUAUGUAUUUUACAUUUAUGUAAUAUUUUGUGUUGUAUAAAAAAGUGGUGGAAUUGUG